Molecule: long non-coding RNA, 451 nt
Organism: Mytilus trossulus (common blue mussel)
Lineage: Eukaryota; Metazoa; Mollusca; Bivalvia; Mytilida; Mytilidae
Exons: 3
Source: RefSeq, a predicted model, not a curated record
UGUGGGCUGAUUUGGUCAGACUUAAUGACACAUGCAUGAAUGGUUUUUCAAAUUAAACUAGUUAACGUGAGUAACAAAAGAAGUAAAUAUAUAUUUAGACAGAGAAGAAGAUAAUUUUGUAAAUGAUGGGUGUUUUGUUGAAACUUGCAUGUGUCGUGUUUGUUUUGUCCAUGCUCGCUUCUGUUGUGGACGCGGCUCCGAGGAAAUAAGGAAGAAAACAAAACCCGGUAUUAACACCGAGACAAACAAAAACUCUUGAGAAAAUGUUUAUGAUGUAUGGUAGAAGUUUUGAUUUUGAGAGAAAGCAUGAUAUCAAAGGAAGUAACUAUCUGUGUGCCAUUGCCAAAUCAUGUGAUUCCCAGAGAAAAAGAGAUGUAAAAUAAAUGAACAGUAUGACAAAGCUUCAGUAAUACUUACCAAUUACAUAUAUAUAUUGAACAAAUUUUCUCAA